This 397-nucleotide ribosomal RNA is filed under the name uncultured bacterium. Its description in RNAcentral is "partial 16S ribosomal RNA". It matches the Rfam family "Bacterial small subunit ribosomal RNA", at positions 523 to 918 of the family's 1533-position model. The record is from RNAcentral.
AUACGUAGGGGGCGAGCGGUGUCCGGAAUGAUUGGGCGUAAAGGGCGCGUAGGCGGCUUUGCAAGUCAGUAGUGGAAGUCCAUUUUUCAAGGAUGGAAGUGCUACAGAAACUGCGGAGCUUGAGUGCAGGAGAGGUUAUCGGAAUUCCCGGUGUAGCGGUGAAAUGCGUAGAGAUCGGGAGGAACACCAGUGGCGAAGGCGGGUAACUGGACUGCAACUGACGCUGAGGCGCGAAAGUGUGGGGAGCAAACAGGAUUAGAUACCCUGGUAGUCCACACUGUAAACGAUGAAUGCUAGGUGUAGGAGGUAUCGACCCCUUCUGUGCCGCAGUAAACACAGUAAGCAUUCCGCCUGGGGAGUACGGUCGCAAGAUUAAAACUCAAAGGAAUUGACGGGG